Molecule: ribosomal RNA, 492 nt
Filed under: uncultured bacterium
Lineage: Bacteria
Description: partial 16S ribosomal RNA
Rfam family: Bacterial small subunit ribosomal RNA
Source: RNAcentral
AGUGAACGCUGGCGGCAUGCCUAACACAUGCAAGUCGAACGGCAGCACAGUAAUAGCUUGCUCUUACGGGUGGCGAGUGGCGGAUGGGUGAGGAAUACAUUGCAAUCUACUUUUUCGUGGGGGCUAACGUCGGGAAACUUACGCUAAUACCGCAUACGACUUACGGGUGAAAGCAGGGGAUUUUCGGACCUUGCGCGAUUACAUGCGCCUAGGUCGGUUUAGCGAGUUGGCGGGGUAAAGGCCAACUAAGGCGGGUAUCCGUAGCUGGUCUGUGAGGAGGAUCAGCCACACAGGAACUGAGACACGGUCCAGACUCCUACGGGAGGCAGCAGUGGGGAAUAUUGGACAAUGGGGGCAAGACUGAUCCAGCCAUACCGCGUGGGUGAAGAAGGCCUUCGGGUUGUAAAGCCCUUUUGUUGGGAAAGAAAAGCAGCGGGUUAAUCGCCCGCUGGUCUGACGGUAGCCAAUGAAUAAGCACCGGCUAACUACGUG